GACUCUCGGCAACGGAUAUCUCGGCUCUCGCAUCGAUGAAGAACGUAGCGAAAUGCGAUACCUGGUGUGAAUUGCAGAAUCCCGUGAACCAUCGAGUCUUUGAACGCAAGUUGCGCCCGAGGCCUCUUGGCUGAGGGCACGCCUGCCUGGGCGUCACGCCAAAU
This 164-nucleotide ribosomal RNA is filed under the name Puccinellia vahliana. RNAcentral's name for it is "5.8S ribosomal RNA". It matches the Rfam family "5.8S ribosomal RNA". Rfam says of the family: 5.8S ribosomal RNA (5.8S rRNA) is a component of the large subunit of the eukaryotic ribosome. It is transcribed by RNA polymerase I as part of the 45S precursor that also contains 18S and 28S rRNA. Lineage: Eukaryota; Viridiplantae; Streptophyta; Magnoliopsida; Poales; Poaceae. The record is from RNAcentral.